CUCGUCUCCGAUUCCAUCAUCAUCAUGCCGCCGGUGGCCUGCAUCUCGUAAUCCAUCAAAGAGGCCUGCGUUCCAAUUAUUUGUGUGGCAGGCAACGAAAAGAAAUCUGCAAGGCAAUAAACUGAUUAUGCAACGGCAAUGCAACGCAACACGUUGACACUAUCGAUGCUUGGCCCAAUUACCGAUCGUUUAUUUAUAACCAAUUCGGAGCAGAGCGAGUGUGUUGUCAUUUCUUAUCUUCGAGUUAGUUUCUUUUUUUUUGCUUUUUGUUUGUGCUGAUACCUUAUCAACGCAAUCGGAAACUAUAAGUUAACGAAGGCAUAACUGAGUGCACAGAUUAACAACAACUAAUUAAGAGUAGUCAUAGUUGCAAAAAUAUAUAUG
Drosophila simulans is the source of this 384-nucleotide long non-coding RNA. RefSeq lists it as uncharacterized. The record is from RefSeq and is a predicted model, not a curated record. NCBI's taxonomy places the organism in Eukaryota, Metazoa, Arthropoda, Insecta, Diptera, Drosophilidae. The transcript is spliced from 2 exons.